This 635-nucleotide ribosomal RNA is filed under the name Tomentella changbaiensis. Its description in RNAcentral is "partial large subunit ribosomal RNA". It matches the Rfam family "Eukaryotic large subunit ribosomal RNA", at positions 34 to 650 of the family's 3401-position model. The record is from RNAcentral. Lineage: Eukaryota; Fungi; Basidiomycota; Agaricomycetes; Thelephorales; Thelephoraceae.
UUAAGCAUAUCAAUAAGCGGAGGAAAAGAAACUAACAAGGAUUCCCCUAGUAACUGCGAGUGAAGCGGGAAGAGCUCAAAUUUAAAAUCUGGCGUGCCUCUGGUCGUCCGAGUUGUAGUCUGGAGAAGCGUUUUCCGUGUUGGACCGUGUAUAAGUCUCUUGGAACAGGGCGUCAUAGAGGGUGAGAAUCCCGUCUUUGACACGGACUACCAAUGCUUUGUGAUGCGCUCUCAAAGAGUCGAGUUGUUUGGGAAUGCAGCUCAAAAUGGGUGGUAAAUUCCAUCUAAAGCUAAAUAUAGGCGAGAGACCGAUAGCGAACAAGUACCGUGAGGGAAAGAUGAAAAGCACUUUGGAAAGAGAGUUAAACAGUACGUGAAAUUGCUGAAAGGGAAACGCUUGAAGUCAGUCAUGUCUGCCAGGACUCAGCCUUGCUUCUGCUUGGUGCACUUUCUGGUUUGAUGGGCCAACAUCAAUUUUGACCGUUGGAGAAAGGCUUUGGGAAUGUGGCACCUUUGGGUGUGUUAUAGCCCUUUGUCGUAUACAACGGUUGGGAUUGAGGACCGCAGCACGCCUUUAUGGCCGGGGUUCGCCCACGUACGUGCUUAGGAUGUUGGCAUAAUGGCUUUAAGCGACCC